GGGGACGAGCUGAGAAUAAUUCACAGGUCGGUUUACACAACUCGAGUAAGAAACUUAUUUUCAAACUCCCAGCACGAUUGGUAAUUUACAUACCUGGCCAGUAUGGUUAAAUUGGACCGAAUAAUCUCUUUGCAUAGUAAUCAUCUCAAUGACUGUAACUCGACAGAGCAAUUGUUAAUGACUAAUAUUUUACCCAUCAGUCUGUGCAGAUAUUAAUAUUCUCUAUAAACUCACUGGUAAUCUCAGACGCACGCGCAGUUUGGUUUCUAUGUAGAGCAUGCGCAGUGUCACAUUGAUCAUUGAGAGAGACAUAGAGCUGCUUUCUCCGGCAGCGGCUGCGAUCGGCAUCAGAGAGCUGCGCGUGGGAACCUCGCUGGUUCCUCACAAGUCCUGGAUACAGGUACCCAGGGAGUUACUGACUCAAUAGACUUGCCAACUGCUGGGUGGGAAGAUGGUUGGUUAGCCAGAGAGACAAAGGUCAGAGAGGUCAGGAGCCUUCAAUAAAUCCUGCCGCCACGUAAGAUCAUUCACAGUGCACAGAGCAGAGAGCAAUGAGAGGGCUCCAAACAUCAGCCAAAAAGACAUGACAUAGCUAUAGUGCUGGAGAGGAGCACAGUACAGACACACCCUAGGCUCAGCCACCACCUUUACAUUAAGUUUUGUUGUAUUGGGACAGCAUCGGGAGUUUUCAGUUUUCAAUCCUGGCAUGUGCUGUCUUGGUGAGCAUCAGGACAACAGAGGGGAAAGCAGGCCUCCCACGAGAGGGUGGUAAUGCUUCCUGGGAUCUUUCUGUUCCCUAUUCCCUCGCCAACACUGUAACUAUGGCUUGUCUUGUGGACCAGUGUCUUUAAUCAUUCUAACUCCUAUAACAGUCCCUAUCUCUGUCAUCUCCUCCCCUCUC
Molecule: non-coding RNA, 901 nt
Organism: Chiloscyllium plagiosum (whitespotted bambooshark)
Lineage: Eukaryota; Metazoa; Chordata; Chondrichthyes; Orectolobiformes; Hemiscylliidae
Source: RefSeq, a predicted model, not a curated record